Molecule: long non-coding RNA, 1089 nt
Filed under: Manacus vitellinus (golden-collared manakin)
Lineage: Eukaryota; Metazoa; Chordata; Aves; Passeriformes; Pipridae
Description: lncRNA (ENSMVIG00005014158.1)
Source: RNAcentral
AGAAACUUUCAGGUCAGAGGCUUUUAGAGGGGAAGGGGGGAAGUAUAUACAUUUAUUUACACAAAUAAAUAUACUGUACAAACUAAAAGCAACUAUAUAUAUAUAUUUACAUUUCUGUCAGUCCUUUUAGCCCCUUCCUUUAACUUUAGUCCAGAAAGAAGCCUUUCAAGGCUGGAAAGUAACCAGUCCCUCUUGUGGGAGUGUUCUGGGCCUGAAUGCUCCCCCCUCACCAAGUUCCAGUUGUUUGUUGCAGUCUCUCCUCCUCAUGAAGUCCAAGAAGAUAGCUUUGAGUCCUUGCUCUUCUGUUGCUGUGUGAUUUCUCCCUCUCGGUCUCAUACCUCGGUUCGUAGGCUGCUGCAGUGUAGUUUAGCUUAUCAAGCGUCUGCGUCCUGGAAUGUUGAUUCCUCCUUUGGGUUUUUGUUUGUCCUGCGUUUAGAUCACAGCAGAGACAUCCUCCAGACCCCUCUCUAUUGGGAGUCCGUCUCCAAUUCUUGCCUGGGAUUUUUCUCCCUAGCAAUCGAGCCUCCUCUGGCCUGUCCACUUGGCUCUGCUCCAAUGCUGAGCCUCACAUCCACUCUCACUAAACAGCGAGAGGGAAAACCAGCCCUCCUCUGCAGCUUGGCUGCAAAGGUGGGGGGGAAAGAAGAAGAGGGCCUGGCUGCAGGGCCUGCCUCUCUCUCUCUCUCUCUCUCCCACUUACCAGUUGUUUGUGAGUCGCAUCCCUCAGAAACCUGCACUCAUUCCAAUGCUGUCUCUAACUCUGGCCUAGGCAGAGUUAUGGGGGCCUCAGGGCUCCCCCCUCCCCCCCAGAGGGGGAGAGAGGGAGCCCAGCCACCCCCUGGCCUUGUCCACCUACACGCAGCAGACACCAACAGCACAACACUAAGACUGCCAACAGCUUCUGGGGUUGUGAUAUAUGAUUUUGAGCAGAAGUGAACAAUAUGGAGAGUGAUUGGCUCUCCAGGGAACACUACCCUGGCACCCAGGCACCUCUGAGCCCCCCAGCCUCUGAGGGGAGGCCAAUUUCAAACCAUGACAACAUCUUAUGCCUAUUUUGAAACCUUAUAAUAAGGUUUUAUUUUCAUUGCU